RNAcentral lists this long non-coding RNA (211 nucleotides) under Elaeis guineensis (African oil palm). RNAcentral's name for it is "long non-coding RNA (EGUI_LNC047328)". The record is from RNAcentral. Lineage: Eukaryota; Viridiplantae; Streptophyta; Magnoliopsida; Arecales; Arecaceae.
CCCUUAUUAGCUAUACAUUGAUUUAAUCAUCAUGCAACCAUGAUAAUAAAAUUUUAAAUUAUCAUAAAUUUAUAAUUUAAUAAUUAAAAUUAAAAUUAUGAUUCAUAAAAAGUUAAAAAUAUUUUUUUGAGUUUGAAGAAUCGAUGCAAAAAUAAUACUAUAUUUUUGACAGGAUAUGAAUAAGAACAAUUUUAAGCUACUAUAUUGCACC